Molecule: RNA transcript, 784 nt
Organism: Sapajus apella (tufted capuchin)
Lineage: Eukaryota; Metazoa; Chordata; Mammalia; Primates; Cebidae
Gene name: dynactin subunit 6 pseudogene
Exons: 1
Source: RefSeq, a predicted model, not a curated record
GGGGGCCGUACGAUGGCGGAGAAGACUCAAAAGAGUGUGAAGAUUGCUCCUGGAGCUGUUGUAUGUGUAGAAAGUGAGAUCAGAGGAGAUAUAACUAUCGGACCUCGGACAGUGGUCCACCCUAAAGCACGAAUUAUUGCGGAAGCCGGGCCAAUAGUGAUUGGCGAAGGGAACCUGAUAGAAGAACAGGCCCUUAUCAUAAAUGCUUACCCGGAUAAUAUCACUCCUGACACUGAAGAUCCAGAACCAAAACCUAUGAUCAUUGGCACCAAUAAUGUGUUUGAAGUUGGCUGUUAUUCCCAAGCCAUGAAGAUGGGAGAUAAUAAUGUCAUUGAAUCAAAAGCAUAUGUAGGGAGAAAUGUAAUACUGACAAGUGGCUGCAUCAUUGGGGCUUGUUGCAACCUAAAUACUUUUGAAGUCAUCCCUGAGAAUACAGUGAUCUAUGGUGCAGACUGCCUUCGUCGGGUGCAGACUGAGCGACCACAGCCCCAGACACUACAGCUGGAUUUCUUGAUGAAAAUCUUGCCAAAUUACCAUCACCUAAAGAAGACUAUGAAAGGAAGCUCAACUCCAGUAAAGAACUAAGAACAGUAGAUGACAUGAAGAUAACAUUUUUGUCUUUGACCACUGUCUUUUGAAUGGGCCACAGUGUUUAUGUACUCUUAGCAACUCACAGGAUAAUACAUGUUGACUUUAUUUUGUAAAAUUGGGUUGAGAGGAAAGUAAUGGAUUUUCAUUGUAACUGUCCUUUAUAAUUUAUAUAAAAUGUAUUAUUUUCCUAUAU